CCUGUGUUUUCUCUGCUUGAUCCAGGAAAAGAAUAUGCCUUUCCUUUGGACGUUGGCUCUUUUAACCAUGAUGGUCUCAAGAGGGAGUCUUGGAUUACCAAUAAACCAGACAGAAGGCAUUGUGACUGUCACCGAAGGAAGCAGUGUCAUUCUCAAAUGUAACUACGAUUCAACAAUCUACUAUCUAUACUGGUAUAUUCAGCAUCCUGGCCAACCCCCCAAGCUCUUUCUGAAGGAUUUUCGCGAUCCCUCAGCUGAAGGGUCUGUCCAAGGUUUCCAUGCUCUGAAGGAUAAAGAACAGAGAAUUUUCAUCAUGGAGAAAGCUGCCAGCCAGAUGAGUGACUCUGCCGUCUAUUUCUGUGCUGGAGGAGCACAGUGAAGCGAAGCAGAAGAGAAACCAACCAAAAACCUGCAAAGGGAAAGAACUGAGAGUGGAGGAGAAACAGCAAUAAA
This is a non-coding RNA of Anolis sagrei ordinatus, 453 nucleotides long. NCBI's taxonomy places the organism in Eukaryota, Metazoa, Chordata, Lepidosauria, Squamata, Anolidae. The record is from the annotation of a RefSeq genome assembly.